GUAUUGGUGGUAGUGGUGGUGGUGAAAGUGGUGGUGUUGGUGGUAGUGGUGAUGAUGGAGGUGGUGAUGGUGGUGGUAGUGGUGGUGAUGGAUGUGGUGGUGAUGGUGAAAAUGGUGGUGGUGGAGAAAGUUGUGAAAUUGGUGGUGGUAGUGGUGGUAGUGGUGGUGGUGAAAGUGGUGGUGGUGGUGAUGGUGGUGGUGCUUGUGAAAGUGGUGAUGGUGGUGGUAGUGGUGGUGAUGGAGGUGGUGGUGGUAGUGGUGGUGAUGGAGGUGGUGGUGAAGUGGUGAAAGUGGUCGUGGAGAAAGUGGUGAAAUUGGUGGUGGUAGUGGUGGUGGUGAAAGUGGUGGUGGUGGUGGUAGUGGUGAUGAUGGAGGUGGUGAUGGUGGUGGUAGUGGUGGUGAUGGAUGUGGUGGUGGUGGUGAAAAUGGUGGUGGUGGAGAAAGGUGUGAAAGUGGUGGUGGUAGUGGUGAAAGUGGUGAUGGUGGUGGUUGUGAAAGUGGUGAUGGCGGUGGUGGUUGUGAAAGUGGUGAUCUCUACAUCACUGUAGAGAUCUACAUACAGUGAUG
Long non-coding RNA from Oncorhynchus tshawytscha (Chinook salmon), 567 nucleotides. Lineage: Eukaryota; Metazoa; Chordata; Actinopteri; Salmoniformes; Salmonidae. The record is from Ensembl.